Molecule: long non-coding RNA, 871 nt
Organism: Papaver somniferum (opium poppy)
Lineage: Eukaryota; Viridiplantae; Streptophyta; Magnoliopsida; Ranunculales; Papaveraceae
Exons: 3
Source: RefSeq, a predicted model, not a curated record
CUAAAACAUCUUCAUAGUCCGCAGACAGAGACGGAGAUUUGCAGCUAAAAUUAAACUCUAGGUUUUAAUUGUUCACCCUGUCUAAAUUCGAUCAUUCCUUUUGAAUUUCUUUGAUGCUCAAUCUAGAUUUUCAAUAAAACCCUAGAAACUGAGAGAGAUUGCACUAGAUCGGUGGUAAGUUUUAUUAUCAGAUACGAAGGGGGAGAUUUAGAACUUCUAUCUUUGAGAAUCAAAUAUCAUUUAAUCAAUUAGAUUUCAUUGAAUUCUUAAUAUUUUUCGAUUUUGUUGUUUUUCAUCAACAGCCAAAAGACAUUUUCAAAUACAAUCGAGGAGAAAGCAAAAUGGUUAUUCAACAUGCUAAAAGGUACAAAACUUCAGUAGAACAAAAAAAGCAAGAAACAAUGCCGCAUAGUUCUUUUCAAGAUUUUGAAGCUGUUAAACCAAAGAAUCAAUGGAGGCCAAAAACAUUUAUACCUCGGUCUCUAUUGGUUUUGAUAUCUCCCCUCCAAAAGGUGGUGAAACUUCAGUGAAUAUAUUGGAUAAUUCUGUGGAAAAGGUGUUCUAAUGGUGAGCCUAAUUCAGGAAGAUUUCAUGCUCUUAAAGAUCACUCAGAGGAACCUGGUGAUAAUGCAAGCAACUCAAGUUGAUGACCCUCCUAUUCUGGAGAAUGAGAUUAUUAUUACUUCAAAUGUUUUGGAUUCUACAAGUGAAGCAAGUAGUUCCUUAUCUAGCUUUGAGGAUGGGGAAAUCAAAGAGGUUAGUUAUUCUUCUAUCAUUCAUAAUAGUAGUAUGCCUAUGUUACCAUCCUAACCAAUACAGAUCCUAAAGGCAAGAAAACUUCACAAGAAAAGAAAAUUCCUCCACCAAAAAA